Molecule: long non-coding RNA, 430 nt
Filed under: Nicotiana tabacum (common tobacco)
Lineage: Eukaryota; Viridiplantae; Streptophyta; Magnoliopsida; Solanales; Solanaceae
Description: long non-coding RNA (NTAB_LNC006617)
Source: RNAcentral
CUGUGAUCUUUGUCCAUUCAUGAAAGACGGUGGUGAAGCUCCUUGUUGAGUGAAAGAAGGUGAUGGUGCCUGAUGCGGAUUUUGUGCAAAAGGUGAAGGCUGACCUUGCAUUUGAUGUGAUCCUUGUCCAGAAACAAAAGAGGGUGGUGAAGUUUGUUGCCACCUUGGAUUAGGCACUGACUGCUGGCCUUGCAUUUGUGAUGAUCCUUGUCCUCCCAUGAAAGAAGGUGGUGAAGCUUGUUGCCAGCUAGGAUUAGGCACUGACUGCUGGCCUUGCAUUUGUGAUGAUCCUUGUCCUCCCAUGAACGAAGGUGGUGAAGCUUGUUGCCAGCUAGGAUUAGGCACUGACUGCUGGCCUUGCAUUUGUGAUGAUCCUUGUCCUCCCAUGAAAGAAGGCGAUGAAGAUUGUUGCGACAUGGAGCUAGGAGCA